GAUGAACGCUAGCGGGAGGCCUAACACAUGCAAGCCGAGCGGUAGAAUCUUUUCGGAGAUUUGAGAGCGGCGUACGGGUGAGGAACACGUGUGCAACCUGCCUUUAUCUGGGAGAUAGCCUUUCGAAAGGAAGAUUAAUAUCCCAUAAUAUAUUGAGUGGCAUCACUUAAUAUUGAAAGCUCCGGCGGAUAGAGAUGGGCACGCGCAAGAUUAGAUAGUUGGUGAGGUAACGGCUCACCAAGUCUACGAUCUUAGGGGGGCCUGAGAGGGUGAUCCCCCACACUGGUACUGAGACACGGACCAGCCUCCUACGGGAGGCAGCAGUGAGGAAUAUUGGACAAUGGGUGCAAGCCUGAUCCAGCCAUCCCGCGUGAAGGAUUAAGGUCCUAUGGAUUGUAAACUUCUUUUAUACAGGGAUAAACCUCUCCUCGUGAGGAGAGCUGAAGGUACUGUAUGAAUAAGCACCGGCUAACUCCGUGCCAGCCGCCGCCGUAA
This 495-nucleotide ribosomal RNA is filed under the name uncultured bacterium. Its description in RNAcentral is "partial 16S ribosomal RNA". It matches the Rfam family "Bacterial small subunit ribosomal RNA", at positions 28 to 523 of the family's 1533-position model. The record is from RNAcentral.